RNAcentral lists this ribosomal RNA (496 nucleotides) under uncultured bacterium. Its description in RNAcentral is "partial 16S ribosomal RNA". It matches the Rfam family "Bacterial small subunit ribosomal RNA", at positions 29 to 507 of the family's 1533-position model. The record is from RNAcentral.
AUGAACGCUGGCGGCGUGCCUCAUCCCUGCCAGUCGAGCGAACGGACGAGAAGCUUGCUUCUCUGAUGUUAGCGGCGGACGGGUGAGUAACACGUGGAUAACCUACCUAUAAGACUGGGAUAACUUCGGGAAACCGGAGCUAAUACCGGAUAAUAUUUUGAACCGCAUGGUUCAAAAGUAAAAGACGGUCUUGCUGUCACUUAUAGAUGGAUCCGCGCUGCAUUAGCUAGUUGGUAAGGUAACGGCUUACCAAGGCAACGAUGCAUAGCCGACCUGAGAGGGUGAUCGGCCACACUGGAACUGAGACACGGUCCAGACUCCUACGGGAGGCAGCAGUAGGGAAUCUUCCGCAAUGGGCGAAAGCCUGACGGAGCAACGCCGCGUGAGUGAUGAAGGUCUUCGGAUCGUAAAACUCUGUUAUUAGGGAAGAACAUAUGUGUAAGUAACUGUGCACAUCUUGACGGUACCUAAUCAGAAAGCCACGGCUAACUACGUG